This 253-nucleotide ribosomal RNA is filed under the name uncultured bacterium. RNAcentral describes it as "partial 16S ribosomal RNA". It matches the Rfam family "Bacterial small subunit ribosomal RNA", at positions 524 to 776 of the family's 1533-position model. The record is from RNAcentral.
UACAGAGGUCUCAAGCGUUGUUCGGAUUCAUUGGGCGUAAAGGGUGCGUAGGUGGCGCUGUAAGUCUGGUGUGAAAUUUCGGAGCUCAACUUCGAAACUGCAUUUGAUACUGCGGUGCUUGAGGACUGGAGAGGAGACUGGAAUUUACGGUGUAGCAGUGAAAUGCGUAGAGAUCGUAAGGAAGACCAGUGGCGAAGGCGGGUCUCUGGACAGUUCCUGACACUGAGGCACGAAGGCCAGGGGAGCAAACGGG